Molecule: non-coding RNA, 45 nt
Filed under: Schistosoma curassoni
Lineage: Eukaryota; Metazoa; Platyhelminthes; Trematoda; Strigeidida; Schistosomatidae
Source: RNAcentral
AUCCAGCUGACGAGUUCGAAAUAGGAUGAAACGUACAUCUUGGAU